Bos taurus (domestic cattle) is the source of this 815-nucleotide long non-coding RNA. NCBI's taxonomy places the organism in Eukaryota, Metazoa, Chordata, Mammalia, Artiodactyla, Bovidae. The record is from Ensembl.
GGUGGGGGGAAUGGGUAUUUGUUCUAGAAGACCCCCCAAAUGACUUAACUUCCUUCAUAACUAUGCCACAUCCAGUCUGGACCUUGCUGCCAGUGGAGUGGGAUCCCCAUGACUUUCUUAGGACUUGAAAUGGAGAACGUGGCCACCUAGGGAAAGAGCUGUAACAGUCAGGUUGUUGAGCCACAGAACUUGCUGCUUCUGAGUAGUCUGUUGUGACAUGUGUGUGCUCAGCUGCUUCUGACUCUUUGUGACCCCACGGACUUCAGCCCAUCAGGCUCCUCUGUCCAUGGGAUUCGCCAGGCAAGAGUACUGGUCACCAUUUCCCUCUCCAGGGGAUCUUCCCGACCCAGGGAUCGAACCAGCCAUCUCCUGUGUCUCCUGCAUUAUGAGGAAACUGAGGCUCUGAGAAGUUAAAUAAUUUGCCUAAGGGCCCAGCAUGGGUUAUGGCGCCAGGAUUCGACCCCAAAGUCAGUGACUCGGCACUAAAACAUCUACUGCUGUCAAAAUCCAUGGUGGAGCCAGCGCUCUGGUCUCUGGGAGUGAGGGAGGGGCCUGGAGCUCUCGGACCCAGGCAAGGGAUAGAUGAUCUGGUCUACAGAAGCGGUCUGAUGAAACCAAUGGACGGAAAGUGGGGCAAACUAUUCAGAGACCCAGCACAUCCUGCGCCCUUAGAGACAACGUGAGGCCCUGUCAACUGAAGGAAGAAAAGGUGAGGGAGCUGAUGAACAAACAAGGAAUUUGUUCGAAGAUGCACAGUAGGAAGUUGGUGGAGCUGGGGAUUUACCAUUGCUGUUAUUAUUUACACUAUGUAAGAG